CGGAGGAGCGGUUUGUCUCCCCCCCCCUCACCCGCUUCCCCGCUCCUCUUGCUCCCUCCCACCUUCCCGCUGACGGUUGGUGCCUCGCGCCGCUGCCGCCCACCCCCCUCGCGCGCUCCCCUCAGAGAGCCGUUGCCGCCAGCGCCUCUCUCUCUGUCCCUCAGGUGAAGAGGAUGGUGGCGGUUCCGCCGAGUCGCGCUCCGGAGCCCCGCCGCCCUCCAGCAGCCGCGUCGCACGGUGGCCACAACGCGGGGGAUUGAGAAUGUGCUAACAACAAUGCUAGGAUUACAAUGGGAAGUGUCACACUUCGCUAUUUCUGCUAUGGCUGCCUCUUCACAUCUGUGACCUGGACACUUCUACUCUUUAUUUAUUUCAACUUCAGCGAAGAGACCCAGUCUUUCAAGAAUGUGCCCAUCAAGGGGCUUGAACCUCAGAAGCCAUUUCCUAAAAAGAUCUAUCCCCGUUUUGUCCAUGGGCCAGUACACAUACCUGAAGCUAACCACAGAUACAGUAAGAACAGGAAUCCAUUGGGAAAUGCUGCACAGGAUCCCAUCAAGGGGGAUACUGAGAUGUCUCCUGAAAUGGGUAUGAUUUUUAAUGAACAAGACCAGGAAGUGAGAGACUUGGGCUAUCAAAAGCAUGCUUUCAAUAUGCUCAUCAGUAACCGGUUGGGAUAUCACAGAGAUGUGCCAGACACAAGAGAUGCAAAGUGUAAAGAAAAAAGUUAUCCUCAUGAUCUGCCCUACGCUAGCAUUAUAAUUUGUUUCUAUAAUGAAGCAUUCUCUGCCUUGCUUCGGACAGUGCAUAGUGUUUUGGACCGCACACCAUCUAAUCUUCUCCAUGAAAUUAUCUUGGUGGAUGACAGUAGUGAAUUAGCUGAUCUGAAAGAAGAAUUGGAUGCUUAUCUAACAAAAAAUCUUCCGAACAAUAUAAAGCUAGUCAGAAAUGAGAAGCGAGAAGGGCUAAUUCGUGGGAGAAUGAUUGGAGCUUCCCAUGCUACAGGGAAGGUACUUGUGUUUCUGGACAGUCACUGUGAGGUGAAUGAGCUGUGGUUGCAACCUUUGCUGACACCCAUCCAGGAAUCACGGAAAACAGUGGUUUGUCCUGUCAUCGAUAUAAUUAGCGCUGACACACUUACCUACAGCUCUUCCCCAGUUGUCCGUGGAGGGUUCAACUGGGGUCUGCACUUUAAAUGGGAUCUUGUUCCUUUGUCAGAACUGGAAGGCCCUGAGGGAGCCACAUCUCCAAUCAAGUCACCUACAAUGGCAGGAGGCUUGUUUGCAAUGGACAGAGAAUAUUUCAAUGAACUCGGACAAUAUGAUAGCGGCAUGGACAUCUGGGGAGGGGAAAACCUGGAAAUAUCAUUUCGGAUCUGGAUGUGUGGUGGCAAACUUCUCAUCAUCCCAUGCUCCAGAGUCGGACACAUCUUUCGUAAAAGGCGACCUUAUGGCUCCCCAGGCGGGCAGGACACCAUGGCGCACAACUCUCUACGGCUAGCUCAUGUGUGGAUGGAUGAAUAUAAGGAACAGUAUUUUGCUCUGCGACCAGAAUUACGGACAAGGAACUAUGGGAAUAUUACUGAUCGUGUGGAGUUGAGAAGAAAGUUGAACUGCAAAUCGUUUAAGUGGUAUUUAGACAAUAUAUACCCAGAGAUGCAAAUUUCUGGUUCUAAUGCCAAAGUACCGCCGCCACUCUUUUUCAACAAAGGGCAAAAACGACCAAAAACAUUGCAACGUGGACGGCUGCUUCAUCUUCAGACAAAUAAAUGUCUUGUUGCCCAAGGCCACCCAAGUCAAAAAGGAGGACUUGUUGUAGUCAGAGAGUGUGAUUACAAUGAUCAAAAUCAGGUAUGGCUUUACAAUGAAGAUCAUGAGCUGAUCCUAAACAAUCUCCUAUGCUUGGAUGUGUCUGAAUCUCGCACUUCUGACCCACCACGCCUUAUGAAAUGCCAUGGAUCAGGAGGAUCUCAGCAAUGGGUGCUUGGGAAACAUAAUCGACUCUAUCAGGUGUCCGUCGGGCAAUGCAUGAAGGUAGCUGAUCCGCUUAGCCUCAAAGGAUAUGUGACCAUGGCAAUUUGUGACGGCUCCCUCCCUCAGCAGUGGCGCUUUGAAAGCUGAGUGACAGCGAAGGCCCAUUUCCACAGUAGCCCAUAGUUGACCUUAUAGAGCCUGCAGUCCCUGCUGCUAUUUCUGAAACGGAACAGUUUGGGAAGCUUUUAGAAGCAAGCGGAAUAGGAGCUGUGGCAGCCACGUUUCAAUCUCUGCACACAUAGAAGUGCAAUUCAUUGCAGUGCUAUACCAAAUCUUGAGGCUCCUAAGAAAACCAUCUAGGAACAUUCUGGUAAAAUAAGAAACAUUUCCAAAUGAAAAUAUAGAGGUAAUAUUUAUAGAUGUAAAAUAUUUUAUUUGUAAAUGCUGAUCUUCUAAAUCUGUUUCCACAAAUUUCAAAGCCCAUAACACUCUGUAUACUUCAAAAAUUCAUUUUUUGCCAACAUUAGAUAACUAUUAUACAGAACAGAAAAAACCUGUAGGACAAAUACUGGUAGGAUGUUGGAAUAUUGUACAAGAGAAGAAAAAUAUUCGAGAAACAAAUUUCAUACAGCUAUUUAUCAAGAGAAAAAUAUAUACAAUUGAUUUAUUCUGUAAGAUAAAAAUACAUCAUGCCAUAUACAUUACAAGUUCAGAACUGUAGCACUGAAUAUAUCAACAGUUUUACAGUCCACUUUCGCUGUGCACACAAAAAACUUCAUUUUUUAAUAUUUAGACUGUGAAGUGUCAGUACCAGAAUUUAAAGUACAAAAUAAAAAAACUAAGCUGCUUCAAAAUGUUGAUUAGGUUUCUACAAGCAAACACAAACAGUGUUUUAUUUUUUUUAAAGAAAUGUAAACAAAACAAUCCAUACAAACACAUUUUUUAAAUUACAUUUUCCAAAACCCUAUUGCCAGAGUCCUGCAGCUGAAAGCACAAUUACACCUAAUUUUUUCUUUGUUUUUACUUUGAAAGAAGGCAGCUAUUGUAUUAGACUUACGCUCUCACUACACAUUUCUAUUUUCAUUACAUGAUUUAGUGUAAGCUGAACAGUUCAUGUAAUCCCCACUACCUUUUUCUGGAAAAGAAAAUCAAUGUUCAGCUUCUAUUUUGGGUGGUUUUAGCAGUUAUUCACAGUUAUCACAAAUUCUAAGCACAAAAAAACCUGAUUUAAGAAAUAGGGAUGUAACAAUAUAAUACAAAUAAAAUAAAUCGGUCUAAAUUUCCUCAGACAUCUACAAAAGUCAUAGUUGUAAUAUACAUGCUCUCUACCAGUCUUAACGGUUACUUAAAAAAGUUAUUAAUAGAGCACAGUUGAGCCUGCUUUAAAGAUUAAAAAAAUAAAGUAAAACCUCUCUUUAAAUUGAGAUUUUGGUUAUUCCAUAACAAUUGUAAUGGCAUUUUUAAUACAAGAGAUCAUAUUGUAACAUCCCUAUCAAAGUUUUAUAAUAAGCACCCGAACUGCUGCAAAGUCUGGUAGCAUUUGGUCAAUUACUAUUUUUUUAUACUGUACUUUAUUCCUCAAAAUAUUUACACUUUUGUACAAAGUAACAGGGUUUGUUAGUUCUGCAGGUAACAGCAGCAGCUUGGCUUCUAACUUUUCCUUUUAAAAAUAGCUUCAUUCACUUAUUUCAAUAAUAAAUACAAAAAGUUUCUCUUAUUUUACAGAAAUCAAAAACUACAAUAAACUGACUCAUGGAAUCAA
Non-coding RNA from Podarcis muralis (Common wall lizard), 3732 nucleotides. The record is from RefSeq and is a predicted model, not a curated record. Lineage: Eukaryota; Metazoa; Chordata; Lepidosauria; Squamata; Lacertidae.